Molecule: long non-coding RNA, 669 nt
Filed under: Homo sapiens (human)
Lineage: Eukaryota; Metazoa; Chordata; Mammalia; Primates; Hominidae
Description: HSALNT0375098
Source: RNAcentral
UGGUUUUAUAAGGGGCUCUUCUCCCUUCGUUCAACACUUCUCCUUCCUGCCGCCUUGUGAAGAAGACGCCUUGCUUCCCCUUGGCCUUACACCAUGAUUGUAAGUUCCCUGAGGCCUCCCCAGUCAUGCUGAACUGAAGUUCUUGCUGCAUCCUGUGAACUGCUGGAACUUGCUGAUUGCACUUCAUAGACAAUUCCCCAAAGCCUGCAUUUGCAAAGCUGGCCUUUUCCAUUUGGAACACUCCUAGCAGCUACCAGUGCCACCCUCCCCACAGCCUCUCUGGCAAAGUAUGCUGGGGAACUUGGGGAUUUUUGCUAAGCUGAUUAGUUAGAUAUUGUGCAUCUCAGUGUAGUUUCAAUUACUAUUUUUCAUAUUAUGAGUGAGUUUGUGCAUUUUUUCAUAUGUUUAAGGGUUAUUCACACUGGUUUUUCUAUGAGCGGUCUAUAUCCUUUGCCCGCUUCUUUUUCUAAGUUUCUUGUUUUUUUAUCCAUUUUGGGGAGCUCUUUUAUAUUAGGAAAUCCAUCCUUUGUCUUGAAUAUAACUGAACAUAUUUUUCCUUGGUGUUUAUAUUGAAAUCACUAUAUCUUUUGACAAUUGAUACUUGCCUUUUCUUUGUCCUGUGAAUUUGUCAUAUGCUGAGAGAUGAAUUAAAGUCUCUUUCUACCGCUG